UGCAACUGCUGGAGUAAUGUCAUCAGAUUGU
This 31-nucleotide non-coding RNA is filed under the name Rattus norvegicus (Norway rat). Lineage: Eukaryota; Metazoa; Chordata; Mammalia; Rodentia; Muridae. The record is from RNAcentral.